Molecule: long non-coding RNA, 296 nt
Filed under: Trifolium pratense (red clover)
Lineage: Eukaryota; Viridiplantae; Streptophyta; Magnoliopsida; Fabales; Fabaceae
Description: long non-coding RNA (TPRA_LNC004563)
Source: RNAcentral
AUGAGAUAUUGGCAAAAUCUCUAGAGCACUCAUGAAAGAAUCCAGGCACGCGCACGGCCUAUUCGCGCAACACAGCGGCAACGGCAAGAAAUGUGGGGUGUAAUGCGAUUGGUAGACCACUAACAUACGGUAAGUUUCAUUGGUUCAUAUAGCUUGCUACACUAAUGUUACUAUGUGUUAAGUACUAUCAGUCUAGGGCUGGUUCAUAUAGCUUGCUACACCAGUUUGAUGCAUUACAUCAAUGAUGUUAAUCCAGGAAAUGAUUUUUUGAGUAUUCUUUUAUACUUUAAAAUANN